This 1036-nucleotide long non-coding RNA is filed under the name Durio zibethinus. RNAcentral's name for it is "long non-coding RNA (DZIB_LNC000984)". Lineage: Eukaryota; Viridiplantae; Streptophyta; Magnoliopsida; Malvales; Malvaceae. The record is from RNAcentral.
ACCAUCUUCUAGACCCCCAACUCCACUCUUCCAUAGCAUGUUGACCCAAAAAAUUCGUACUGGGAUCAUCAAAAGCGCAUUAUCUGUGAAAUCACUAACUAAUUAGCAAUUAAAUAAAACCAUAGAACCGAUCAAUCAACAUAAUACAGCUUAAGAAACCAUCAAAUCGCAAGAAAUAGAAGAAAAAACAAAAUCGCUAAAAGCAAGCCCCAGAAUUAAAACUAACAAAAUAGGAAGAAAAAAAAAACAAAGCUUUGGUAAACAAGUAAUCAAGCAAAGACAAUAAAGCUAGUGGUUAACAGUUAAGACCCGUUUGGUAACUGAGAAAAUGAAGUAAAGGUCCAAAUUUUCCAACGAAAUUUAUUUUCUUUCGCAUCAUAGAAACAUGCUAUUAAGUAAAAGGGAAAAAUCCAUAAAAAAAAGAAAAAAGAAAAUAAACAAAUGAAAGGAUUGAAAACAAAAAUGAAGGAAAAAAAAAACCUGAGGAAGUUUGAGAGAGGUUGUAGGGAGGUUUGCCAUCGGAUCUCUCCAUACUUUACAAAACCAACCUAAAAAGAAAACCCUAGAUACAGCAGCAGCAGAAGAAGAAGAAGAAAAAUAAAAGUUCGAAAAAUAAAGAUAGGGUUUGCGGGAUUUUUUCAAUGAAGUUGGAGGCAUACGGGUAGGAAGAGCGGCAAGUUGUGUAAAUUAAGGGGGAUUAGGAGGGUUUUUACUUAGGCUAGGGAAGGUAGAAGAUAGAAGGAAAUCUCUCUCAGAGAGAGACGGAGAGAGGGAGAGAGAUCGAAGAAAUGGGGAAGAAAGGGGGCAUUGUUUGGUUUUGGGGUUUUUUUUUUUUAAUUAAAAAAGGAUGUGGGAUUUGAUUAAUUUUGUGUGUUUUUGAGUGCACGCCGAGAUUGAGGAGAGACACAUGUGCACGCUGAGAAAAUGACGGUGAUGACUGAUGAGACAGAUAGAAACCAUUAAUAUAUAAAAACAAAAAAAGAAAUACGAAGCAUAUUACAAAAGUAAAGCUUCAUCCCCCACAGUUAUAUUCUUU